This 94-nucleotide transfer RNA is filed under the name Nonomuraea coxensis DSM 45129. RNAcentral describes it as "tRNA-Ala". The record is from RNAcentral. Lineage: Bacteria; Bacillati; Actinomycetota; Actinomycetes; Streptosporangiales; Streptosporangiaceae.
CUCACGGUCGCGCUCUGGCGCGGCGCGCGGCGGCUGGCGCUGGCCGCGCUCCUGGUCGAGCUGGCCGGGGUGCUGAUCAUCGGCACCGUCAGCC